GACCUCAGCCAAAGUCAGAUGCUCAACCGACUGAGCCACCCAGGUGAUUGAAAAUACACUGAGUGAAUGAUCUAUGUGUACCUGAGGCUAAUAUUAAGUACUCUCCACCUCACCCAUAAUAUUCUGCCCACUACUUUAUUAUAAGUGCUAUGCUUUUGACUCUACUUGAAGAUUCUUCAGGCCUCUGCAUUCUUCAGAAGGAAAAAUAGAUACUAACGCACUGCUGUGAAACAGGACUCAACUGAAAUGUCACUCUUCAAUGAUGACUCCCGUAAAGCACCUGUUCAAAACUGGACCCCUCUUGUUAAACUCUCUUCACAGCACUUCCAUCUGGUUUUAACAUAGUUG
Molecule: non-coding RNA, 348 nt
Organism: Puma concolor (puma)
Lineage: Eukaryota; Metazoa; Chordata; Mammalia; Carnivora; Felidae
Source: RefSeq, a predicted model, not a curated record